AUUGAACGCUGGCGGUAUGCUUAACACAUGCAAGUUGAACGGCAGCAUUAUCUAGCUUGCUAGAUAGAUGGCAAGUGGCGGACGGGUGAGUAACACGUAGGAAUAUGCCCUAAAGUGGGGGAUAACCUGGGGAAACCCAGGCUAAUACCGCAUAAACUCUAAGGAGCAAAGCUGGGGACCUUCGGGCCUGGCGCUUUAGGAUUAGCCUGCGUCCGAUUAGCUAGUUGGUAGGGUAAGAGCCUACCAAGGCGACGAUCGGUAGCUGGUCUGAGAGGAUGAUCAGCCACACUGGGACUGAGACACGGCCCAG
RNAcentral lists this ribosomal RNA (310 nucleotides) under uncultured bacterium. Its description in RNAcentral is "bacterial SSU rRNA". It matches the Rfam family "Bacterial small subunit ribosomal RNA", at positions 30 to 334 of the family's 1533-position model. The record is from RNAcentral.